GAGUUUGAUCGUGGCUCAGAACGAACGCUGGCGGCAUGCCUAACACAUGCAAGUCGAACGAAGUCUUCGGACUUAGUGGCGCACGGGUGCGUAACGCGUGGGAAUCUGCCCUUGGGUACGGAAUAACUCAGAGAAAUUUGUGCUAAUACCGUAUAAUGUCUUCGGACCAAAGAUUUAUCGCCCAAGGAUGAGCCCGCGUAAGAUUAGCUAGUUGGUGAGGUAAGAGCUCACCAAGGCGACGAUCUUUAGCUGGUCUGAGAGGAUGAUCAGCCACACUGGGACUGAGACACGGCCCAGACUCCUACGGGAGGCAGCAGUGGGGAAUAUUGGACAAUGGGCGAAAGCCUGAUCCAGCAAUGCCGCGUGAGUGAUGAAGGCCUUAGGGUUGUAAAGCUCUUUUACCCGGGAUGAUAAUGACAGUACCGGGAGAAUAAGCUCCGGCUAACUCCGUGCCAGCCGCCGCCGUAAG
RNAcentral lists this ribosomal RNA (469 nucleotides) under uncultured microorganism. RNAcentral's name for it is "bacterial SSU rRNA". It matches the Rfam family "Bacterial small subunit ribosomal RNA", at positions 9 to 524 of the family's 1533-position model. The record is from RNAcentral.